Long non-coding RNA from Camelus dromedarius (Arabian camel), 2078 nucleotides. RefSeq lists it as uncharacterized. The record is from RefSeq and is a predicted model, not a curated record. NCBI's taxonomy places the organism in Eukaryota, Metazoa, Chordata, Mammalia, Artiodactyla, Camelidae. The transcript has 2 exons.
GGCAAACAAAGCUAAGCAUUAUACUUACAAAUACUUUCUCAGGAAAGUCUUCAAAGUUACGCAAUUUUAGGCACGCAGACGCGCAUGAACCCACAAAAACACACUCUCCCAAGAUCCACCGCCCGGGGGCCACAGUUUGGGGCUGCGCCUCGGGGCCAGGGCGAUCCCCAAACCCUCCACCGCGACGCCCCGGCUCCGGCGCAGCCUGGCUCCCCGGGACCCGCGCCCCACCGGCCCGGCCGCGCGCACUUCGGAGAAAGCCGUCCCAUGUCGUACCCGCCACCGCACCCAGCCCCUCCGUACCUCUUCCUCCUGAAGUACCAGCUUCGACAUAUUCCUUCUUAGUCGGCAGCUUGAAAUGACAAGACCAGAGAACUCGAGUGAUAUCCGGGGGCAGCCCGCUCCGAGCCGCCGUUUUCAGGGCGCAACUUCAAACCCACCUCCGACGCCGUUUCCUCCGAAACCUCUCCAGCCUCCUCGCUCUGGCCGGCCCUUGCUCUCCGCGAGGCUUCCCGCGCGGCUCCUCCUCCGAUUCCUCUCCAGCCCUUAUCAGACUGUCCUGGAAUUAGUUGUUUACCUGGCUGCCUCUGAUUCUUCUGGGAGAUCUUUCUUGGAAGACAGGACCAAGCCCUGUUUAUCUUUUGAAUCCCACGUUAAUUUGAAUAUGCUACCCGGUGUAUAGUAGGCACUCAAUAAAUAUUUGUUGGCUGAGGGACUAUUCUUCACUGCCAGCCCAACUGGAGGCCAAUACAGAUGACAUUCCGAGGAUCAAAGCAGCUUAAAGAAGGGAGAUAGCAUUCUGGGAGGUCAGCGCACGAAGCGCCAACGUCUGAAGGAAGAACUGCCUGGUUUCUGUUUCCUCGUCUGUGAAAUGGAAGUAGUUCUGUUUAUCUCCCAGGAGUUUGCUGUUAGAGAUGAGUUGAUAGAUAAAACUGUAGCACCUGGCACCCAUUCUUACCCAGUUAAGUUUACAAUACAUGGAAACUGACAUUAAGGAAAUUUCCAUUUUUCCUGAGCCAUCGAGAACUUUUCCAACGCUAUCAUUUAAGCUUUCAAACUUAGUGACUGGUACAAACACAUACAUUUGAAACUCCGAACAUCGGUAGAUUCUCCCUCACUUCUCACUCCCAGGAAUUCUCCCUUACAGCAGGCUGUUCCCUAUCAGCACAGCACCAAUCACAGUUUCUAAUUAUUUAUUUGCUUGCUUGGCUGUUUGUCUCUCCUUCCCCACCCCUCCCCUACUGGGUAUUCUUUACCCUGUACUGGUUUAAGUGCUCCUGGGAAUGGGAUGGGGGUGGCGCCUGGAAUUAAAAGAUAAGGCUUCUGCUUUUAGCGAAUUUAAAGUGGUGUGGAGACAAGAUAACUCCCGACAACAUAAUCGCAGAUCCUGGUUCAAAUCUUAGAAAGCAAAGAAAAUAUUUGUUUUUAUGAAGAGAAAACCAGUAGUGAUACUUGGAUUAACAUACUGAAUUUUCUAGGGUGGAGGGGAAGUCUGAAGAUUUUGAUAAAGUGAGUUCAUUGCUGUCACGAUGUCAUUUCUCUCUAUGGGAAAAAAAAGUGUAUCCCAGAUAAAAAUAAACCAAGAGUCUAUUAAAACUGCAAUCGAAGUUCAGGAGCAGCUUAGGUACAGUUAAUCUGGAAAUUUAAAUGGCCUUUUCCUCUUCCAGUUCCUCCCUCAGUUAUAUGAGGAGCCACGAGGGGGCAAUAUCUUCCUGAGCAAUGGCUGAGUGGUGGUCUUGGGCGCCUGUGCUGACCAGUGAUGCCAGAACUUUACCCUCCUUGGCCAUUCUUGCCUGUUCCUGAACACACUCCACAGAAAGGCAUUGUCUUGCUGGAGCCUGGCAGAGACCCAAGAAGAAUGACAAUUGACCUAGUCAUUGAUAGUCCCCGUCAGGCUCCACUUAAGAGUAGGUGAAUCUUGUGUGAUUCUAGGAUUCUGGGAGAACCUCCCCUACCCCCAUUCAAGGAAAUGUGACUUAAUCUAAAACAUGGAACCCGAUUCCUUUAUCUUUAAGCCAAGUUGGCACCUUGUCUAUCGUUACAAGUCAAAAACCUCUGGAAUAAAAAAAUGAGAGUAA